AUUGAACGCUGGCGGCAUGCUCUACACAUGCAAGUCGAACGGUAACAGGCCGCAAGGUGCUGACGAGUGGCGAACGGGUGAGUAAUGCAUCGGAACGUGCCCAGUCGUGGGGGAUAACUACUCGAAAGAGUAGCUAAUACCGCAUACGAUCUAUGGAUGAAAGCGGGGGACCGUAAGGCCUCGCGCGAUUGGAGCGGCCGAUGUCAGAUUAGGUAGUUGGUGGGGUAAAGGCUCACCAAGCCAACGAUCUGUAGCUGGUCUGAGAGGACGACCAGCCACACUGGGACUGAGACACGGCCCAGACUCCUACGGGAGGCAGCAGUGGGGAAUGUUGGACAAUGGGCGCAAGCCUGAUCCAGCAAUGCCGCGUGCAGGAAGAAGGCCUUCGGGUUGUAAACUGCUUUUGUACGGAACGAAACGGCUCUGGUUAAUACCCGGGGCUAAUGACGGUACCGUAAGAAUAAGCACCGGCUAACUACGUG
Molecule: ribosomal RNA, 482 nt
Filed under: uncultured bacterium
Lineage: Bacteria
Description: partial 16S ribosomal RNA
Rfam family: Bacterial small subunit ribosomal RNA
Source: RNAcentral